UUGUAGUUGUCCAUUGAGAAGGUGAAAUUGGUGUUGAAACUGGUAAGGUUGCCCGUGGAGGCGUCCCAUAGGCGCAUUGGUUUUGAGUAAUGUGCCUGGCCGUAUGUGUAGAAGUCGUUGCUGGUGAGUUGGACCCCUGAAGCUCCGCAAGCUGCAGAUUCGAAGACUUUGAUGGAGUUGUUGCUGCAUUUGUCGAAGUUGGUGUAGCUGAACGACAACGGCGCCGUAUGGCAUGUUGGGAUCAAGAGGGACCAAGUAGUUAACACGGUGAUGAUCGUGCUUGUUAGCACUUCCAUUCCGUAUAGCUAGCUGCAGCCUGUAAUAUUAAUAAUGGUCACCAAUUAAUCAAACUCAGAUGAGUUUGAUUACAUAUAUAUUAUGAUAGUCUUGGUCAUAUUCAUAAAUAAUGUGUCGUGCAUUUACUCAAUUAGCUAGUGAUGCUUUAACUGCUGUAAACACUCAAGUUGUACACUUUAUUAUAUUAUUAUGAAUAAUUCCAUAAUUAAGACAAGUGUUGAGAUAUUACUGUUUUUUAAAAUGGUAUAACUUCACAUGAUGGACACGGUGGAGUAGUAGUUAAUAACAGUGUUUCGAGGUCAUUCGCGGUAGCAAUACCAAACCAAAUACGACGAGUAGUAGGAUCCUGAGCUAAACCUUGACUAAACCUUGAAAGACUAAAGUUAACUGUCUUUCAUUAAAUUGGAUAUACCGCAUCUUAAUUAGUUCCAUGUUAUACAAUCCUAGUUUGGUGCUAAGUCUUAAGGCGGUCGGAUGUAAUGAGCCGAGCCGAACUUUAAUAUUCUGCUCAAAUUUGAUCAUUAAUUUUUAAGCGAACCCGAAUUAUAAAAUUUUAGUUUGUAUUAAAAUCAAGCUGAUCAUUCGAGUAUGGCCGAUUAAAUAAUUUUGAUGUCAAGCUCAACAUGAAUGUUGCUUAUUGAAAAGUUUUGAAUUAAAUAUUAAACCAGUUCACUAAAAAAACAUCGUUAAGUCAAAGCUAAAAAAUAAUUAUGGAUUGAACAGAGUGCCCAGAUCCAACUACACUCGCAAUCCCCAAGGCAAGUUGACUCCAGCCCAGAACCAAAAAGAUUUAUAAUUCCAAAUUAGAUUUAGAACUACUACUUGUUCAAUUUCCCGUCUCAGAUGUAGAAAUUGUCAGUAGGAAACCGGCCGGAGACGAACUAUAUGCAUGUUAAUAUACAACAAGUGAUGAAGCUAGCUAGUUGCAGGGAGAAAAUCAAAAUGGUAACAGUACGUAGUAGAGUACCUGGAAUUAAGAGUACUAUCGUGGAUGGAGUGAGGGAGACGAGACCAAGUUGACCAAGACUGUUGACCGGCGAAGAGGAUUGACUGUGGUAGUAUCCCUGAACUGGUACGUAGUUAGGUGAAGAGUGAACACCAAUUUGUGGCCGGCAGGAGAAGGGAAAGACACGCUUUGCUUUUCUGUUGUUUCGGUGGGAACUGGGAAGGAAAGAGAGGCUUAAAUACUACAUAUGAUGUUUUGAAGUGAAGCUCCGUGCUAGCUGGUUGCUUACAGCUAGGGAGCCAUCAUAUUAAUAUUAGACUAAUUAGUCAUUAGAUAAGUAAUUAGUUGUUGACGCGCAUUAUUAGGAGCCCGGUGUAUAUAUAAUUAAAUAUAUUACAAGUGGUAUCAGUCUUUAACUAUGCCGCUACUCACCCUCAUACGCAUCAUGCAUGUAGUCCCAUAAUGUAUUAUUUUGUCCUUCACUUCAUUAAUUUUCUAUCCAUUUCCCCAUUACAUUUGUUAUUCUUACUCCAAGGCCACGCAUUGAGUUGACUUGAAAAGUCAAUAUUAAUCCAGAAAUGUGUUAAUUAAACAAACGUUAAUUUAGGAUGAGCUAGAGAAGUUUAUGUGUUAGCUUUAUUUCUUUAUUUUACGAUGGGUAGCGAAUCAUCAUCCUAUCUAGAUAACCAGUUAUAUAUAAUCACUAAUUAUAACGAGUUAUAAUAUUAAAUAUAAUUAGCCACUUACAGUAAAAUUAAACAAUAUUAGCGUAAAACCUAAAUUAAGCGAAGCGUUAGAAAAAAAUAUAAUAAAUAUUUAAGUUCAUGCUAAAGAUUAAACAUAAAUACAUAAUAGUUUAUAAGUUCACGGAUUUAUAGCUCUACAACUGACAAUGUCCAACAUAAACAAUGCUCAAAUUUUCACAUAGAAGAAAAUAAAUUUUCAACAUAAACAAUGUUCAAGUUCUCAUGAAUAUGCCUUAUUCCAUCCUACUAUGCCUAGGCGAGGCAUUUUCCUAUCGCCUAACGAUUUUUACCGCUUAGGCACGCUUUCUUGAAUACCGCUAAUUAUAAUCAGUUAUAUCAGUUUAUAACUAAUUAUAAUUUUUAUCAGGAAAUUAAUUAGGGGGUUGCUAGAAAAGUCAACGUUGGUGAUAACGUGACAAUCCGGUAAUUAGAUGGCUGAUAAUAAUUAAAAAGAUAAAAAAGUAAAUAAUAAAUGUAUAAAGACAAAAGUAUCCCUCGGCUGGUUGAAAUCGAUUGAACUUUACCAUGAUUGCAUAUAAUCGAUUACCAUGAAUUACAACAAAUGAAGAAAACUUAAAGAAUAACGCCUAGUUUUGAAGGAAUUAAAAAGUAGUCCAUAAGUUUAUAAAAUGUGCUAUCUAGUCCCUCUCACUACAGACGAACGAUCCUUUCUGGCGGUGAGGAAACUUUCUAGGGAUCGACGUCCAGAAUCGGGGUGUAGGCCUGAUCCUGGUCUUUUAUUGGAGCGAGCCCGAAUUACCAAACCGGCCAAAAAAAUCCCAAAUUUAUCUCACCAAUUUAUCCCACUAUUCAUAAAUAUUACCAAACACGAAUCAUAAAAAUGUGGAAAUUUUGAUUCGUUAGAUAGCAUUUGUGCAGGACGUGAAUAAAUGAGUUUUGUGUGUAAAUAAUUGAUAAUCGACGUGCAAAUGUAACAUUUGUGCGUGAAUAGUGAAAUAAAUGUUCUUAUCUCACCGUGAGUGUAGCUGUCCACGAGCCGAGCCGAGCCGAACGUGCCUAGACUUGGAUUGUUACAUUUCAGGCGAUCUUGAGGGAGAUGAGAGAAAGUUGACCAAGACUGUUGACCAGCGUUGAGGGUUGUGGUAUCCCCUGAUGAAUUCGAUCGUAGGAAAAAGAAAUUGAAUACAUAUGAGAUUUUACAAGUGAAGCUUCUGCGAAGAGUGGUAGCUGGUUACCUGAAGCAUCAUAUAAUUAGACUCUCUAAUAAUAUAAUUAGAUAUUUAUAAUUGAUUGGCCUCGAUUGACUUGAUUAAAUUUUCUAUCCAUCUUCCUACAUUUGUUAUCGUUAGUCCAAGGGUACACAUUGAGUUGACUCAGUUCACAAGUUAGAUAAAGGAAAGUCAAUAUUCAUCUGGAAACUAAAUUUUCUGCCGUGGGAUAUCCCUUUGAGAUCGCGUGCUAGCUGAAUUGACCAUCAGCCGUCCGAUCUUCAGCUUUUCAGGCUUUUACCCAUAAGGUAAUUUAGGUAUUUGAAACCGUUAAAUUUGCUGAUGCGACACUUUCACGUCUGCUCUAACGAAAUCGAUAAUAAAUCUUAAUUUAAACUUAAUAAACCGCACCGAUUAAAAGCCUUGAGGUUUCCCCAACUCUUGAUUUAAUCUCGCGACUUUUCAAUCACGAAUUGGAGCUUGGAGUGAUGUUGUUAAUCAACCGAAUUAAAAACAACAUUGUAUAAUCUGUUACUGGUUGCUGUAGGAUGUAUUCUCUACAUUGACAUUUUUGGAGUUAUCUGAUUAAAUAUAUAACAUUAAAACACAUAUAAGAUCAUUAGGCUGCAAGUUUGACUUCAAAUGGCUUCACCGGUUAUGGACACAAGAAAAUCAAGGACCACAUUCCAAAUAAUCGGAUUUGUUUUAUAACAGAAUAGUCGUACUCUACUGGAUCAGUUCUCAUCUUCACCAGUGGAACUGACUGUUAAACUAUGUGGAAAUGAAAGUAGGGCUGGAAAUCGGUACGAGAAUAGGAUCUCAUUCCUGAAUUUGUGAAUUUUCAAAUUUUUUAAAUUCCGAAAUUUUGAAAUUUGGUACGGAAAUUUUUAUUCGGAUUAGGAAUUUGAAUUCGGAAUUUGGGAUCUCGAAUUAGGUUUUUUCCCCGAAAUUUUUGUUCCAUUGCCAAAAGUCCAAAAAUCAUUGCAAAGAGUUUAGACAAUCAUUGCCACAAGUCCUACAAUCAGCCAACAUUGUAUAUCGUAUUGUGAGUCCAUUGUCUACAAUCGGGGAUCUCAGUACUCAUCGCAGCAGCCUCGUUCAAAUGUCUACAUUCGAGAAUCUCGAUCAAAACCACCGUCGUCUAUAUGUUGGAUUGGGUGUAUGAUGACUGUUGGUGAUUGGUUUAUGGUGGAUUGCAAAGUAUGGUUAAGGCAUGGAACAUUCACUCAGGUGCUCAGUACAUUCUCGAUGGCCCAGUUGGCCAAGUUCACGCAUUGCAUACUGGGACUAGUAUGGGGUUUGUGUUUACUACCGUUGAAGAUGGUAUGAUUUGUGGUUGGAAGACAACGAGCAAGGAAAUCGUUUCCAGCCAGCUACAUCACUGAUUGGGCAUAUACAAGUGCAGUUAUUUCCCUGAGAUCUGGAGCAUGUAGGAUGUUUUCCGGCUCCAUAAAUAAGUGAAUAAAAUAAAUUUUGGGAUUUUGGGAAUUUCGGAACUGAACAAAACAAAUCCGAAUCCGAAAUAUUUUUUUCCCGAAUCGAACUCGAAUAUUAAGUUUGGUAAUGGAAAUGGGAAUUUUCGAAAUUUUUUUAAUAAUACGAGAACGAGAACAAGGAAAUCGUAAAAUGAAGAAAUUACCCAUUUUAUGAGUACCAUGAACAUAACGGAAGAUGCGAGAUAGUUAAAUAAUAAGACAUACGAGGAGCACCGAUGUAUUGAUGAAGAACUUGAACAACAUAAUCAUGAUCAGACUGAGUGGAAGUAAGGUAGAUAAGUAGCUAAGACUACUUGUUUUAAACUCCUACUAGAUUCAACCGAGUUAUAUAUCACUGGUGUACAUAUGAUAAAACAAAGGCUUGAAAGGUUCGAACUACACGGACUUUGAUCCCGAUAUCCGGGCAUGUAGGCAAUAAGAAAUGAUUCAAGUCCACCCAAACAAAUUACUCCCGGUAUUCGUAACGGACAACAUUACCCACAAUUUUCAAAAAAAUUUAACUCGAGCACCAGUGUAUAAAUAAGUUGCAAAAAAACCAAAAUCUUUAAAUUCGAACUACGUGGACUUUGAUCCCGAAAUUCAAAUAUGUAGGCAGUCAUUUUGAGUCGAGUCCAUUAAUCAACAUCUCUCCCCAAAAAUCCAAAACCAUUUUAAAUCCUUGUUUUUAAACGUGCGGUAACCCAAAACAUUGAAAGAAAACUUAUCGUCCAACAGUACUGGCCUUGCGCCGGGCGGAACGAUAGCAUUAAGUUGCUAUUGUGAUAUAACCGAUCUCGGAUCCAGAAUUCUCAGGUUUUCGCAGAUAAAGUCACAACUCGUCCGUCCCAGACUACGACGGCUUGGACGGGCCACUAGGGUAUUCGAUCCACCCUAACCUUUAUCGAUCGAUGACGACUCCACAAUAAUACUUCAUUCAUGCGCCGCACGCGCAAGCCAAUCCCCUUCCCUAUAACGAAAAGCAAGCGGAACGCGUUCCAGACGAGAGACCUCCGCAACAAAGGCAAUUCAAAUUUGACCCUUUUUAACCUAAUUAAGUUUGUCCAAAUACUCAUAUUGAUGACUAUGAUUGUCAUCCAACUAUUAAAGUAUAACUAAAAAGAAAAAUUGAAAAUGGGAAAUAAUAUGGUGGGGACGGGUUACUGUUGUUAAGCCAUAGUAAUAUAGCCCCAAUUUGUAAUAUUUUAAAUAAGGGUAAUACUUUCGUGUAAACAUGAACCGAUGUAGCAAGUUUUAAUUGGCCUUUUUAAUUUUAUGUUAUUAAAAUUAUUAAAUUUGUAUAAUUAACAACUUCAUCAUCCAAAAAUUUAAUCAUAUUACCGUUAAAUAUAUUAUUUAACAUCAUUCUUCUUAAAAUUUCAAUUCAAUAUCUCCCCGAUUCCCGAAUAAGCAUUCACGUUCCCAUUCCUAAAUUAAAAAUCCCAAUUUAAUUUGAGAACAGGAAUUUUUAUUCCGGAAUCGAGACCCCGAACACCUUUUUUUCUUCCUGAAUUGAAUUUUUCUCCUAAACAAUCUUUCAUUCCAAGAUAUAAUUUAGGUUUCCCGAAUCCAUAACAUUGCUACUGUAUAAUUGAAAAGUGAUCCCAAUUAUUCCCAAACGCGUUAAAACUGUUCCUGCUACUAAUAAGCCAUCAAUACUGUUACCGCUACUGUAAUAUUAUUACUGCUACUUAGUUUUACUUGUUCAUGGGAAAAGUCUUUAACUAAGUUCUAAUUACUGCGGCUACUAAGUAAUUGUAGACAUCUCUUUGUCUGAUGUUGUAAGCUUGUAACUUUGAAGUUUGAAGAAGAUGAAGAAGAUUUGAGGUCGUCUCAAGAUUUCUCCGCCGGCCCCGUCUGUAGUCCGAACUUCAAUCGCUGUACCGUCCGCCCGUCCCGUAGUUCGCAGUAUCGGAAGAUAGAUAUAUUCCUCCUCAGUCCUUGCUCAAAACACAGCUUCUUUCUAUAAAAAAAUGAAAUCAACUUCGAGAUUUCGGAAAUCCCGAACCCAAAUAAAAAAUCUCGAUCUCGAAUUCACUUUCCCGAACCAAUACCGAAUUAGUUUUGUCCGAAUCGGGAACGGGAAUUCCCAAAAUUCUUUAAUUAUACGGAACGAGACCGGGAAUUCCGAAUCUCGUUCCCAAACUUCCACCCCUAAUCCUCGGGACCCAUCUCUCACUGUGUAAUUUCUACGGCACCUAAAAUCAAAUUUCAUGAUAAUUCAAUAAAACUAUUUCUAUAAAAUGAAUCAUCAUAUUGUAAUGGGAAAGAAAUUUUUUAAAGAAUGCAGGUAAAGUUCUUUCUUUUGUUAAUGAUGGAAGGCUUUCUUAAUGAUAGAAGAUUUUCUGAUGAGUUGUAAAACAAGGAAGAAGAAGAUAAGGUACAGAAAUUUUAAAAAAUAAACAUAAGAAAUAAGAAAACUGUAGUGAGAUUGUGGAGGUUAACAGUGGCAUGAAUUUAAAUAACAAUAAAUUUUAGGUGAUUAAUUUGUAUGUUUUUUAACAUUUUUAAGGAUUAAUAUAAUAUAAUUUGAUAAAAAGUAAAAUUUCACCUAAUAAUAUACCGUUGGAUUUUAUAUCCAAUGCAUGUUUCUAUCAAGAUAUCCGAUUUAAAAUAAUAAAUGUCGGGAAAACGCAUUCUCAAUGUCAUGAUAUAAAUACUUACUGCAUAAUUAAACAGGAAUCAGUGAGAUUGGUGGCGUCGAGAGAGUGGAGGCGAACCACGGAACCAUACGCAGAGGUUUUUGGCUUUGUAAGACACGCUGGCCGACAUAGUCGUCCCAUUCGCAUAACUCCGCCACCUCUUGCUCGCAACGGACUUUAUUAAAUUGAUGUUAAUACCAACAUGGAUAUCACUCAACGUGUUCCAUUCGGAGUUGUAAUUGGUAUCGAACUCCACCGCCACGAACGGAUUCCCCGUCGAAUUGAACUCGUGGCUACUGUCUACCAAACCCAAACGGCCAUCGGCCGAUGCACUGACGGCGGGAGUGGUGUAAUUGAAGGAGGCGAUGAAGAAGGCUAGGCCGUCGCAGGUAUAGUUGCCGUUGUUGUUGUCCAUUGAGAAGGUGAAAUUGGUGUUGAAAUUGGUAAGGUUGCCCGUGGAGGCUUCCUAUAGACGCAUUGGUUUUGAGUAAUGGGCCUGGCCGGUUAUGUACAAGUUGGAGGUUGUGAGUUGGACCCCUGAAUUUCCUCAAGCUGCACUUUCAAAGACUUUGAUGGAGUUGUCGCUGCAUUUGUCGAAGUUUGUGAGAUUGAAGGACAACGGCGCCGUAUGGCAUAUUGAGAUCAAGAGGGACCAAAUGGAAACGGUGAUGAUACUGCUGAUCAUGCUUGUUCCGACUUCUAUUCUGUAAUAUGCAUAUAUAAAAUCAAAGGGAUAAGUCCAAAAUUAGAACUACUACUCACAGCUACGAAGCUUGUUCAAUUUCCAGUCUCAGCUGUAGAAAUUGUUAGUCUGAAACCGGAAACGAAUUAAAUGCAA
This 8110-nucleotide long non-coding RNA is filed under the name Linum usitatissimum (flax). RNAcentral describes it as "long non-coding RNA (LUSI_LNC004067)". The record is from RNAcentral. Lineage: Eukaryota; Viridiplantae; Streptophyta; Magnoliopsida; Malpighiales; Linaceae.